This is a non-coding RNA of Myotis lucifugus (little brown bat), 74 nucleotides long. NCBI's taxonomy places the organism in Eukaryota, Metazoa, Chordata, Mammalia, Chiroptera, Vespertilionidae. The record is from Rfam.
GGAAGUUCUCGGGUGAUGCACCCUGGAAUCGGCUCCCUCCUCUCUGGUUCUGGGUGCAUCACCCAAGAAGCGCA